UACGGAGGGGGCUAGCGUUGUUCGGAAUUACUGGGCGUAAAGCGCACGUAGGCGGCUCUGUAAGUUAGAGGUGAAAGCCCGGGGCUCAACUCCGGAAUUGCCUUUAAGACUGCAUCGCUAGAAUUGUGGAGAGGUAAGUGGAAUUCCGAGUGUAGAGGUGAAAUUCGUAGAUAUUCGGAAGAACACCAGUGGCGAAGGCGACUUACUGGACAGAUAUUGACGCUGAGGUGCGAAAGCGUGGGGAGCAAACAGG
RNAcentral lists this ribosomal RNA (253 nucleotides) under uncultured bacterium. RNAcentral's name for it is "partial 16S ribosomal RNA". It matches the Rfam family "Bacterial small subunit ribosomal RNA", at positions 524 to 776 of the family's 1533-position model. The record is from RNAcentral.